GAUGAACGCUGGCGGCGUGCCUAAUACAUGCAAGUCGAGCGAACAGACGAGGAGCUUGCUCCUCUGACGUUAGCGGCGGACGGGUGAGUAACACGUGGAUAACCUACCUAUAAGACUGGGAUAACUUCGGGAAACCGGAGCUAAUACCGGAUAAUAUAUUGAACCGCAUGGUUCAAUAGUGAAAGACGGUUUUGCUGUCACUUAUAGAUGGAUCCGCGCCGCAUUAGCUAGUUGGUAAGGUAACGGCUUACCAAGGCAACGAUGCGUAGCCGACCUGAGAGGGUAAUCGGCAAAACGGGAACGGGAAAAGGGUCCAACCCCCUACGGGAGGAAGCAGUGGGGAAUCUUCCGCAAGGGGGGAAGGCCUAACGGGGAAACGCCGGGGGGGGGAUGAGGGUUUUGGGUUCGUAAAACUUUGUUAUUGGGAAAAAAAAAAGGUUAAAUAAACAUGCACCGUUUUGACGGUCCCUAAUCAAAAAACCCCGGCAAACUACGU
RNAcentral lists this ribosomal RNA (496 nucleotides) under uncultured bacterium. Its description in RNAcentral is "partial 16S ribosomal RNA". It matches the Rfam family "Bacterial small subunit ribosomal RNA", at positions 28 to 506 of the family's 1533-position model. The record is from RNAcentral.